CCUAUAUUCUGUUUCAGUUGGAAAUAUGUCACAACACUGAAAAGGCGACUGCAACUCCCAGUUCACACUGUAAAUGUUGUUAGAGAUACAAUCAUACGCCCCGAUUAUGUUUACAUGUUUGGCAAUAAAAAAUAAAAUAAAAACAAAAAACUUUUUAAAACUUUUCAAAUAAAUAAAUAAAUAAAUCACACAUACUUUAUAUAGGCUAGGUAUAUAAUUCAUGCAUGUCUCGUCUAAGUAGCUCACAAUUUGCGUUUUUUUAUGUUAUGGUAAUAUUUUACUUUGCGUUACAUUGUAAUGAAUUUUUUUUCUGAUAUUUCUUACAAGGAGCUCUAAAACACUUUAUAUUUCAGUAGAAAUCAUGUUUGUUUUUGAAAGGGUGUAUAUGGGAGAAUGGAGAAACACGCCAUCGGGUGUAGUUCCAAUUAUCCACCAGCAGGGACUUAACAUUUACAGUCACUUCCCGAGCCUCUUUAUUACCGGAAGUGACAAAGAGGCUGGGGAAGUGACUGUAAAUGUGCUCUUACUUUUUUUUUCUCCCGGAAACGGCAAAGCGUUAGAUACCUUCUGUUUUCGCAAAUUAUGUAUUAGCUAAAUGAAUUAUUUCGGGACAACAUGAUCAUCGGAUUCUGUUUCAUCAUUGUGUUUGCGGUGCUGAUAAACAAAGUCUCUCUGCAGCUCACAGUAGAGGUCACAGUAGAGGGUUUCAUCGGUGGUUCUGUUCUCCUGCCGUGUUCUUCAACUCAACAUGAUCUUAAACUUCAAGACACUGAUGUGUUUUGGAGAAACAAAGCUAGUGAGUCUAUUUGUGAUUUAA
Molecule: long non-coding RNA, 817 nt
Organism: Carassius gibelio (silver crucian carp)
Lineage: Eukaryota; Metazoa; Chordata; Actinopteri; Cypriniformes; Cyprinidae
Exons: 3
Source: RefSeq, a predicted model, not a curated record